This 492-nucleotide ribosomal RNA is filed under the name uncultured bacterium. Its description in RNAcentral is "partial 16S ribosomal RNA". It matches the Rfam family "Bacterial small subunit ribosomal RNA", at positions 29 to 507 of the family's 1533-position model. The record is from RNAcentral.
AGUGAACGCUGGCGGUAGGCCUAACACAUGCAAGUCGAACGGCAGCACAGUAAGAGCUUGCUCUUACGGGUGGCGAGUGGCGGACGGGUGAGGAAUACAUCGGAAUCUACUUUUUCGUGGGGGAUAACGUAGGGAAACUUACGCUAAUACCGCAUACGACCUACGGGUGAAAGCAGGGGAUCUUCGGACCUUGCGCGAUUGAAUGAGCCGAUGUCGGAUUAGCUAGUUGGCGGGGUAAAGGCCCACCAAGGCGACGAUCCGUAGCUGGUCUGAGAGGAUGAUCAGCCACACUGGAACUGAGACACGGUCCAGACUCCUACGGGAGGCAGCAGUGGGGAAUAUUGGGCAAUGGGCGCAAGCCUGAUCCAGCCAUACCGCGUGGGUGAAGAAGGCCUUCGGGUUGUAAGGCCCUUUUGUUGGGAAAGAAAAGCAGCAGGUUAAUACCCCGCUGUUCUGACGGUACCCAAAGAAUAAGCACCGGCUAACUUCGUG